Dermochelys coriacea (leatherback sea turtle) is the source of this 271-nucleotide long non-coding RNA. RefSeq lists it as uncharacterized. The transcript has 3 exons. NCBI's taxonomy places the organism in Eukaryota, Metazoa, Chordata, Testudines, Dermochelyidae. The record is from RefSeq and is a predicted model, not a curated record.
AAUUUAUUUGGGCAUAAGCUUUUGUGAGCUAAAACCCAUUUCAUUGGAUGCAUGCAGUGGAAAAUACAGUAGGAAGAUAUAUAUACACACAGAGAACAUGAAAAAAUGGGUAUUUUGGCCAUACCAACAGUAAUAAGACUAAUCAAUUAAAGUGGGUUAUUAUCAGCAGGAGAAAAAAAAAACUUUUAUUGUGAUAAUCAGGAUGGCCCAUUUCAAACAGUUGACAAGAAUGUGUGAGAAACAGUUUGGGUGGAAGAAGAGGAAGGAAGAG